GGUUGUAAAGCACUUUAAGCAGUGAAGAAGACUCUAUGGUUAAUACCCAUAGACGAUGACAUUAGCUGCAGAAUAAGCACCGGCUAACUCUGUGCCAGCAGCCCGCGGUAAUACAGAGGGUGCAAGCGUUAAUCGGAAUUACUGGGCGUAAAGCGAGCGUAGGUGGCUUGAUAAGUCAGAUGUGAAAGCCCCGGGCUUAACCUGGGAACGGCAUCUGAUACUGUUAGGCUAGAGUAGGUGAGAGGAAGGUAGAAUUCCAGGUGUAGCGGUGAAAUGCGUAGAGAUCUGGAGGAAUACCGAUGGCGAAGGCAGCUUUCUGGCAUCAUACUGACACUGAGGUUCGAAAGCGUGGGUAGCAAACAGGAUUAGAUACCCUGGUAGUCCACGCCGUAAAACGAUGUCUACUAGUCGUUGGGUCCCUUGAGGACUUAGUGACGCAGCUAACGCAAUAAAGUAGACCGCCUGGGGAGUACGGCCGCAAGGUUAAAACUCAAAUGAAUUGACGGGGGCCCGCACAAGCGGUGGGGCAUGUGGUUUAAUUCGAUGCAACGCGAAGAACCUUACCUGGUCUUGACAUAUCUAGAAUCCUGCAGAGAUGCGGGAGUGCCUUCGGGAAUUAGAAUACAGGUGCUGCAUGGCUGUCGUCAGCUCGUGUCGUGAGAUGUUGGGUUAAGUCCCGCAACGAGCGCAACCCUUGUCCUUAGUUACCAGCGGUUUGGCCGGGAACUCUAAGGAUACUGCCAGUGACAAACUGGAGGAAGGCGGGGACGACGUCAAGUCAUCAUGGCCCUUACGACCAGGGCUACACACGUGCUACAAUGGUAGGUACAGAGGGCAGCUACACAGCGAUGUGAUGCGAAUCUCAAAAAGCCUAUCGUAGUCCAGAUUGGAGUCUGCAACUCGACUCCAUGAAGUAGGAAUCGCUAGUAAUCGCGGAUCAGAAUGCCGCGGUGAAUACGUUCCCGGGCCUUGUACACACCGCCCGUCACACCAUGGGAGUUGAUUGCACCAGAAGUGGGUAGCCUAACCUUUUAGGAUGGCGCUCACCACGGUGUGGUUGAUGACUGGGGUGAAGUCGUAACAAGGUAA
RNAcentral lists this ribosomal RNA (1089 nucleotides) under uncultured bacterium. Its description in RNAcentral is "bacterial SSU rRNA". It matches the Rfam family "Bacterial small subunit ribosomal RNA", at positions 421 to 1499 of the family's 1533-position model. The record is from RNAcentral.